GAAGCACUUCUUAGGAAUAGUGUAUAACCAGGGUGGGUUUAUUUCGUUAACCAUGGUUACCGCUUCAUCUGGAUCCUUCCAAUCUUCCUUCCAUCCUUUCUUAUCCACGAACUGAUACGAGUUCUGAGUUGUCAAUUCCUCUGUUAUACCACCGAAGAGUGUAGUCGAUCGAUCGUUGUUUUCGCUUCUAUCACUUCGCCAUAGCCGACGCCGCUGACUCUGGCUCUUACCGCCUCUUUCCUUCACAUAACACCCGAUUUUCUUCUCCAUGUGCUUAUAAGAAGAUUCAAGUUUCAGAGUCUUCAAUUGCAAUUUUGGAUCGGCUGACUCGCUCCUAUACAAGGUAUGCAAAUCCAAAUUGUCGUCUGGCUAGGGAUUCUGCUUUGGUGUCGCAAGAUAACCUACACACAAAUGCCUUUGGUUCCUGAAAGAGAUCUCGAAAGGAACAAUUGGCACAUUCAACUUCAACUUCAGCCUACGUCUGUUGUUUUAUGUGGGUUUCCGGCCUCAAGCGCUGCUUCUCACGAACAGACUUAACUCUCCACACACUCUAAUUACCAUCUCAAUCACUGUUGGUUGAUCAGAUGAGGGAUAGUUUGUUUCUCACAAACAAACAUCAGGUGACACCUGCAACUUGCUCCUAUUUUGUUCUCUUCUGCUCAUCAGUUUGAUUUCUAGGUAUUUACUACACUUCAUUUUGUUUUUUUCCCUAUAUUGUUAUAAGCUUCCGCGUUUUAUGCGAUUUAGGAUUUAUACCGAUAUCGAUUUGGGGGUCACAGUAUCCAUGGCGUUCAUCGGCUGUUCCCUUAACCCACUGCUUCACACGAUGAAAGCGGAUGCGAUGAGUAGUCGGCUGUAAAAUCAAUGUUCUCAUUGUAGCCUGCACAAUCUAAACUGAAAUCGAGGGGUUGCUUGGGACGUUAACGGUUAAUUAUCGAUUGAUUCGUUCUCUAGAAUCUCGACUUUUGCCAUUAUCGAUCUAUUUAUGUAUUCUGCUUCUAUUCUUCUACCGACUACCCUUUGACUUUACGGAACCAAUACACAAUUAGAAAACAAAAGUUUGUCAAAUGUUCAUGAAACCAUUUUUUAUUUAUUCACUUCAACUUUUUAUUCGUUGUCUUGCACAAUCUAAAAAUGAAACUUGUAAUUAAACCCUAUGAGACUUUUUAUACAUGGUUUUGUUUUUUGUUAUUAAUAAUUGACAUUUUCUACUUUGUGGGUGUCGGUUGAUUUUUUUGUGCUUUUAGAUGUAUACGUCGACCUGUAUUACAUAAGGAAUCAUAAAGAGAAUGAAUGAUCCACAGAAGGUGUUCUAUGAAAUGCUUCACCGAAAUGAAUAAUACAUGGCAGAGAAGGAAAAUGGAGGACUGAAAGAAAAGCAAGGAAGGAAUUCAAUUUGAUUCCAAUUCCAUGUUUGGUUGUAAAUUAAUCGAGUGACUUUGUUCAAUGUGUAUGCGAGAUAAUAGAGGAUGGGGGAGGUACUUGUUGUAAUUAUGAACUCGAUGGAGUUAUUCGAUAUGAGUAGUUAUGGAGAAAAGUAAGAUUUACCUGAUGAUAACAAUGAAUCUAAGAGAUAGAAAAAAAGGUUAUGAUGCUAGACAUCAUGAUGCUUUACGGUUGUUAGCAUGGUUUCACCUCAAAUGGAUCAAAGUGGAAGUGAUUAGGCUUUUAGUUGCUUUAUCUGCACUGGCUGUAUUGAAACAAGAAGAAAAAAAUGAAGAUGAGAAAACACCAAAAAGAAUGUCAGCCAAGUCGAGACAUGGAGAUUUUCAACAGGUUUAGCAGCUCCAACAAUUGUUGCACGAUUUAGUGUUUAACACCAACAUUGGGUACAAUUAUAGCAAUAAUUGGGCAUGGUGGUUUUGUUGUUGUUAGACAGUUGCACGAAAUGUUGUAGUGGCUGCUUCGUUUGGAGGUGAAUAAAAAGUAAACGUUUAAGAAUGACAUUUUUUAUUUUAUUUUGUGGAGAUAAUAAGUAAAAAUAUGGCACCUCGGGUUGCUGAUGUGUAUUUUUCAAAAGCAUUGCAUGAUGUCGAUAUACAUGUGAAAACUUUCUUUUAAUUUUACAUUUUGUUUCUAUUAAGGUUUUGACUUAUUUUUUCUGCUCAUAUUGUGGUUUGCUUUCAUUCUUUUGUACCCUCACGUUAAUACCGAUGGCCAUAUUGUUUAAAUGAGUGUCCAUAAUACAUUUUUUCUUCAAUUCUUAAACUACCCAUUGAAAUUUAGAGACCUUAUAAUGGUGUUAUUGAAACAUAUAACAUUUUACUUUAAU
Lactuca sativa (garden lettuce) is the source of this 2272-nucleotide non-coding RNA. The record is from RefSeq and is a predicted model, not a curated record. NCBI's taxonomy places the organism in Eukaryota, Viridiplantae, Streptophyta, Magnoliopsida, Asterales, Asteraceae.